Lactuca sativa (garden lettuce) is the source of this 624-nucleotide long non-coding RNA. RefSeq lists it as uncharacterized. NCBI's taxonomy places the organism in Eukaryota, Viridiplantae, Streptophyta, Magnoliopsida, Asterales, Asteraceae. The record is from RefSeq and is a predicted model, not a curated record.
CGUCUCAAUUCCCAAAUCACAACCCAAUUUAAUUUACCUCGUUCUUUUUCUCUACAUCAAAAAAACCCUUGUCUGCCUCUUCGUUCGUCACCGUCGAAUCGUCGAUCAUCUUCAGCUGUUCGUUGCCACCUCCUCGCCGGUCAUCAGGUGGUCAUCGGCUCGGCGCCGCCUCGCCGGUCAUCAGGUCUUCGUCGGCUCGUCGCAGCGUGACUUCAGCUCGUCACCACUCCAAGAAAAAAUCACGGAUUUGAACUUCAAACUCAAAUGUUUAAAUUUAUUUUGUGGACAUAUUGAUAAGUUAGAAGAAACCUCUUCCAUUUGUGUCUCUAUGGCCAUGAAGAAUCUCCAAAGGAACAAUAAGAGGAUUAUGAUUCAGAUCUGAAUAGACCAUGCCAUGGAAAACAUAUGCUGUGGAAUCAUGUGAACAAGCUGUAAACAAAGGGUAGUUGCGAUGGAAAGCCACAUUUGUUAUGUCUUUAUUGUGAGAUCUGCACACAUUUGGAAAAAUCAUAUGUUAAUGUUAGAUUCAUGGAUAUCAAUCAUGGUAUGUAUUAAUGAAAAACAUACAUGAGAACUUUGUAAGGUUUUGAAGAAAGAUCCAUGUCAAACCAACAUAACUUUCCA